CAGCCGCCGCGGGAAUACGGAGGGCGCUAGCGUUACCCGGAUUUACUGGGCGUAAAGGGCGUGUAGGCGGCCUGGGGCGUCCCAUGUGAAAGGCCACGGCUCAACCGUGGAGGAGCGUGGGAUACGCUCAGGCUAGAGGGUGGGAGAGGGUGGUGGAAUUCCCGGAGUGGCGGUGAAAUGCGCAGAUACCGGGAGGAACGCCGAUGGCGAAGGCAGCCACCUGGCCCACUUCUGACGCUGAGGCGCGAAAGCGUGGGGAGCAAACCGGAUUAGAUACCCCCGUAGUCCCUGUCUCUUAUAC
Molecule: ribosomal RNA, 301 nt
Filed under: uncultured bacterium
Lineage: Bacteria
Description: partial 16S ribosomal RNA
Rfam family: Bacterial small subunit ribosomal RNA
Source: RNAcentral